ACUAUAAUAACUGAAAUACACAAAAUCACAAAUUGUGCUUAUUGUGAUAACGUAAGGGAAAAAAAUGAUAUAACUUUACUAAGAGUGUUGUCUAAAUAACUGGUGCCAGAAGACUCGGUAACACCAGAAACGCGAACGUUAGUCGUCUUAAACAGGCGUAAAGGGUAAGUAGGCUGCUUUAAAAUCUAUUUUAAAUUAAGCUAAUUAAUAUUAUUAUUGCGUAGUUACCCCUCCAUUUAUGGGAGGGGCAACUCCCCACUCUCGCUUUAGCGAGCAAGCGCAUUGCUUUAUUCUUUUUAUUAUAUUAAGAACUAAUUUGCUUUGGCCCAACCACCCUAAAGGUCCAAGCAAGGGUUGCAUUGCAAGCAAAGCAAGGGCAGUUUUAAAUAAAGUCCUAAGGGAGGGUAGGUCCGAAAAAAAACCUUAGUCACUUUAGCUUUGAAAGCAAUGGGAUAAUUUAAAAGUUUCAAACCUUAAAUUAUAAAUUAAGGCUAACUUAAAAUGAAAAUAGUGUUACUAGUUUUCAAGGUGCCUCUGCUUGAGAAGCAUUCUAUUGAAAGAUAGGUUCUCUCGCUAAAGCGACUGAAGGUAACAGAAUUAUUAAAUGAAAAAAAAAUAGAUAUACUUAAAGCUAGAAUCAUAUUUGAGAUAAACCAAAUAAUACUUAUGUGUAAGGGCGAUAUCUGCAAAUACUAAGUAGAAUACUAACGGUGAAAACUUUUUAUCUGGUAAUGAUUGACGCUGAGGUACGAAAGUGAGAACAGGGAAUAGGAUGUGCGACUUGAAAGCUUAAAUAUAUGUAUACCUCCCUAAGGGAGGAUUAUCAUUCGUCUGAUAAUAGCCAACCUAAACAUGACNUUACUUCCUACAU
Molecule: ribosomal RNA, 871 nt
Filed under: Inocybe aurea
Lineage: Eukaryota; Fungi; Basidiomycota; Agaricomycetes; Agaricales; Inocybaceae
Description: 16S ribosomal RNA
Source: RNAcentral